GAUGAACGCUAGCUACAGGCUUAACACAUGCAAGUCGAGGGACCGGCGCACGGGUGAGUAACACGUAUCCCACCUGCCCUUUACUCGGGGAUAGCCUUUCGAAAGCAAGAUUAAUACCCGAUAUAAAGGAUGGGGAUGCGUUCCUUUAGGUUGUUGGUGAGGUAACGGCGCACCAAGCCUUCGAUGGAUAGGGGUUCUGGGAGGAAGGUCCCCCACAAUGGAACUGAGACACGGUCCAAACUCCUACGGGAGGCAGCAGUGAGGAAUAUUGGUGAAUGAGCGGUAGCCUGACCCAGCCAAGUAGCGUGAAGGAUGAAGUCGUAUGGGUCGUAAACUUCUUGUAUAUAAGAAUAUGUAUUAUAUGAAUAAGGAUCGGCUAACUCCGUGCCAGCAGCCGCGGUAAUUC
RNAcentral lists this ribosomal RNA (406 nucleotides) under uncultured bacterium. Its description in RNAcentral is "partial 16S ribosomal RNA". It matches the Rfam family "Bacterial small subunit ribosomal RNA", at positions 28 to 526 of the family's 1533-position model. The record is from RNAcentral.